Molecule: transfer RNA, 87 nt
Filed under: Capnocytophaga sputigena ATCC 33612
Lineage: Bacteria; Pseudomonadati; Bacteroidota; Flavobacteriia; Flavobacteriales; Flavobacteriaceae
Description: tRNA-Leu
Rfam family: tRNA
About the family: Transfer RNA (tRNA) molecules are approximately 80 nucleotides in length. Their secondary structure includes four short double-helical elements and three loops (D, anti-codon, and T loops).
Source: RNAcentral
UGCGGGUGUGGUGAAAUUGGUAGACACGCUAGACUUAGGAUCUAGUGCUUCACGGCGUGGGGGUUCGAGUCCCUUCACCCGCACUUG